RNAcentral lists this long non-coding RNA (377 nucleotides) under Glycine max (soybean). Its description in RNAcentral is "partial ncRNA". Lineage: Eukaryota; Viridiplantae; Streptophyta; Magnoliopsida; Fabales; Fabaceae. The record is from RNAcentral.
UAUAAUAGCAUCAGAAGAUAGAGUUGAUUUUAAUUAAGUACGUGUCAUCCUCUAACUGAAGAGAUAAGAAACUAAGGAAAUUAAAUAGGAAAUGGGAACACGUAAUUUCAAUUCAGUGGAAAUAUCUUAGCAUUUCGUACUGCAAAGGGCAGAAAGCCAGAAACACUCAUACAUACUGGUAAGCUCUGGUUUUAAAAAGCAGAUAGAUGAUGGAAGCAGAAUAUUUUUCUUUUUUUUCUUUUUUUAUGGAAAGAUUGGGGGUUCACUAGAGAUGAUGGAUCUCAAAAUUCUUUAAAAAAAUCAGAGGAAUUUUUCUUAUUUCAGAUGAGAAGGAUGUUAAGAUUGCUUACCUUGGUGAGUAGGUUGAUGGGGUAUGG